AAAGCGUGCGCAGGCGGUUUUGUAAGACAGACGUGAAAUCCCCGGGCUCAACCUGGGAACUGCGUUUGUGACUGCAAGACUAGAGUGUGGCAGAGGGGGGUAGAAUUCCACGUGUAGCAGUGAAAUGCGUAGAGAUGUGGAGGAAUACCGAUGGCGAAGGCAGCCCCCUGGGCUAACACUGACGCUCAUGCACGAAAGCGUGGGGAGCAAACAGGAUUAGAUACCCGGGU
RNAcentral lists this ribosomal RNA (230 nucleotides) under uncultured bacterium. RNAcentral describes it as "partial 16S ribosomal RNA". It matches the Rfam family "Bacterial small subunit ribosomal RNA", at positions 562 to 791 of the family's 1533-position model. The record is from RNAcentral.